This is a long non-coding RNA of Bradysia coprophila, 1070 nucleotides long. Lineage: Eukaryota; Metazoa; Arthropoda; Insecta; Diptera; Sciaridae. The record is from RefSeq and is a predicted model, not a curated record.
UACAAACAAGUUGAAAACUUUGGACAGAGUCGUCCAAAGUUACGGUCAGAUACUUCUCAUGAAAACAAGUUGAAAACUUUGGACAGAGUCGUCCAAAGUUACGGUCAGCUUCUUCUCAUUAAAAUGAAUCAAAAACUUUGGACAAAGUCGUCCAAAGUUACGGUCAGCUACUUCUCAUGAAAACAAGUUGAAAACUUUGGACAGAGUCGUCCAAAGUUACGGUCAGCUACUUCUCAUAAAAACAAGUUGAAAACUUUGGACAGAGUCGUUCAAAGUUACGGUCAGCUUCUUUAUAUGAAAAUAAAUUAAAAACUUUGGACAAAGUCGUCCAAAGUUACGGUCAGCUACUUCUCAUGAAAACAAGUUGAAAACUUUGGACAGAGUCGUCCAAAGUUACGGUCAGCUUCUUCUCAUUAAAAUAAAUCAAAAACUUUGGACAAAGUCGUCCAAAGUUACGGUCAGCUACUUCUCAUGAAAACAAGUUGAAAACUUUGGACAGAGUCGUCCAAAGUUACGGUCAGCUACUUCUCAUAAAAACAAGUUGAAAACUUUGGACAGAGUUGUUCAAAGUUACGGUCAGCUUCUUUGUAUGAAAAUAAAUUAAAAACUUUGGACAAAGUCGUCCAAAGUUACGGUCAGCUACUUCUCAUGAAAACAAUUGAAAACUUUGGACAGAGUCGUCCAAAGUUACGGUCAGCUUCUUCUCAUUAAAAUGAAUCAAAAACUUUGGACAAAGUCGUCCAAAGUUACGGUCAGCUACUUCUCAUGAAAACAAGUUGAAAACUUUGGACAGAGUCGUCCAAAGUUACGGUCAGCUACUUCUCAUAAAAACAAGUUGAAAACUUUGGACAGAGUCGUUCAAAGUUACGGUCAGCUUCUUUAUAUGAAAAUAAAUUAAAAACUUUGGACAAAGUCGUCCAAAGUUACGGUCAGCUACUUCUCAUGAAAAUAAGUUGAAAACUUUGGACAGAGUCGUCCAAAGUUACGGUCAGCUUCUUCUCAUUAAAAUAAAUCAAAAACUUUGGACAAAGUCGUCCAAAGUUACGGUCAGCUACUUCUCAUGAAAACAA